UUAGAACCUUUCAUGUUUGUUAAAAUUAUAACUUGAUGAUGCUCAAGUUUUCACAGUUAAAAUCUUCCGGUUUUAGGACAUGAGCGAAAAUUGUGCUGAAACAAUGCAGUUUAGCUAAUGGCAGGGGGCCUUCACUCCAAGUCGUCCCCUUCGUAAUGUUCGAUGAUAUCUGUUUUCCCCUCUAGCAGCACCAUUCCUACAUGUAUUGAUGGCUUUCAAAUGGAAGUGAUCCUUUCACUUUUUAGCUUGUUAAUAAUAUGGAAAACAUGCAAGACAUACAUACUGGCAAAGGAAGCUGUGCAAUUUGUUUGUGUGAUGGGCUCAUCCUCAUUCUCACACAACACGAGAUAAAAACAAAAUAGAGAGUUGUGAAAGCAAAGGAAGAUAAAAUACAAAAACAGGAAGGGUUCGUUGUGUGGCUUUGUUUCCAUGGUGGAUGGAUGUUGUGGUUCAAACCUCAAACCCAUUUAUCACGUUAUCCUUUACAUGCUCUUUUCCACCUCUAGCUUUCUAAACUUUUUCUAUGGUGCUUAUUAGGCGUGUAUUUUUCUAGUAGCUUUUCUCAUCCUUCUUUCUUUUAAUUUCUUUUUGCACCCUCAUACUUUGCUGUAUUUGCGGAUUAACUCCCUUCUUUU
This is a non-coding RNA of Sesamum indicum (sesame), 635 nucleotides long. NCBI's taxonomy places the organism in Eukaryota, Viridiplantae, Streptophyta, Magnoliopsida, Lamiales, Pedaliaceae. The record is from RefSeq and is a predicted model, not a curated record.